UACGUAGGGAGCAAGCGUUGUUCGGAUUUACUGGGCGUAAAGGGCGCGUAGGCGGCGCGGUAAGUCACUUGUGAAAUCUCUGAGCUUAACUCAGAACGGCCAAGUGAUACUGCAGUGCUAGAGUGCAGAAGGGGCAAUCGGAAUUCUUGGUGUAGCGGUGAAAUGCGUAGAUAUCAAGAGGAACACCUGAGGUGAAGACGGGUUGCUGGGCUGACACUGACGCUGAGGCGCGAAAGCCAGGGGAGCAAACGGGAUUAGAAACCCCCGUAGUCC
This 273-nucleotide ribosomal RNA is filed under the name uncultured bacterium. RNAcentral describes it as "partial 16S ribosomal RNA". It matches the Rfam family "Bacterial small subunit ribosomal RNA", at positions 524 to 796 of the family's 1533-position model. The record is from RNAcentral.